UAGUAAAAGUGUAUUGUUGGUCAUGCCAGCUGAAAACUAAUUACUUCUGCUGUUCUUUAUUAAUAGGUAGAGAAAAAAUACCAUUCGCCAAAUCAAUAGCUGUAUAACAGGUACCUGAGAAUGUACCGAAAUGCUCCAGUAAUGAAACCACAUUCGGAACAGCAGCUGCAAUUGCUCGAUAAUGUUUAUGAUAAUCUACUAUCAUUGUCUAAGACCCAUCUGUCUUCUGCACAGGCCAAUUCUGUUCACCUAUAAGGUCUAGAAACAAUGACGAACCCAGGAACAAUGAGCAUGACUAGCAUCCAAGUUGUGAUCUCUAUAUGACAUUCUGUAUUAAAAAAAGUCUUUCCUAGAAAAAUGGGUGCUUCUCUGUAUGGAGCUCGGAAUAUAAAAGGUGAGUAUAGAAUGUCUUGUUAUGCCAGAAAAAAAGAGAUGCUAUUGAAGACUGCUAUAAUUCUGUC
RNAcentral lists this long non-coding RNA (461 nucleotides) under Callithrix jacchus (white-tufted-ear marmoset). RNAcentral's name for it is "lncRNA (ENSCJAG00000080661.1)". The record is from RNAcentral. Lineage: Eukaryota; Metazoa; Chordata; Mammalia; Primates; Cebidae.